This 5589-nucleotide long non-coding RNA is filed under the name Marmota monax (woodchuck). Lineage: Eukaryota; Metazoa; Chordata; Mammalia; Rodentia; Sciuridae. The record is from RNAcentral.
GUUUCCAUCAAAAGAAAAAAAAUACAUUUUAACCAUAGUUAUUUGCUUGUAUUAUAUACUUAAAACUUCAUAAGUUUGUAGUUGUAUUUGCUACAUUUUAAUAGUAUUUUUAUAAUCAUUGUAGAAAAUGCCUUUUAUAAGAAAAAUUUCCUUCUACCUCUUUGACUUAAUAUAGUAUUAUAUGUUUUUGGACUGCAUGACAAAAUUCAAGACAACUUUGUAAAUACCAGUUACCCUUGUCAUUUGAAAAUAACUAGUUUUGCCAGGUGCUCUGGGUCUCAAGAAAGUAUAAAUUUGUAAAUAUUUCAUUGUAAAACUCCAUAGUUAAAUUGAUUGCUGUAAAUGCUUUUACAGUCCAUUGGUUAAUUAAUAUAAAGACAAACAUUUUGCUGUUUUGUGAGAGAGCAAUAGUUAAAUUGUCUGUAUCUCCUCACUGAUCAGGAUCAUUGCUGUUUGUGUGCAUUAUAUAUUUAAACAAUUACCCUGGCAUACAGUUUGACCUCAGGUACCAAGUAGAAGAUAUGAGAAGGAAAUUCCCAUUUUAAAAAAGAGACAGAGAGUUAAAAAGAUUGGUACAAUUAUUGUUACCUGGCUGUAUUUAUUCUCUGCAAAUUUACUUGCAUGUACAUGCAUUUAAAAUCAUGUUUUAGUUAAAUAGUUGGGAUAUUUCUCAUUCCAGCUUUUCUCAUUUGUUUGUUUAAUGAUUUAUAUUUUAUUUUACUUUAAUUUUUAUAUUUUUGCUUGGGAUUGUUCCGAGAGACUCAUGAAUGAUAUAGGCUUGUGCUCUGCCACUACGCUAUAUCCCCAGGCCUUUUUAUUUUACAAAUGAUGAAACUUUUAUUUUUUAAGCUUGAACAUAUUUCUAGAAUCCAAUUUAUUAUUAUUUCUAACUAUAAUUUUAUAGUAAUACUAAGCUCUAUUACUUUGAAUUCCAAAUCUGUUUCCAUGUUUGUAUAUCCCUGUGAGAACAAAACAACAAUAAUUAUGAAUAGUUUGGUUUUUCUGAUAUUAUUUUUGAAAUUUUCUUGUGACCUAUAUAUAAUUCAUGUAUGUGAUAAUCAAAGACAAGUCAUGUGUUACCUGUUACAUAAAGAAGGAUUUUUUUAAAUAAAAAUUCUGGUGUUGAUCAAAGUAUAAAUCCUCAUUUUUUGAAUAGAAUUUGGUAUAGAUCAUCAAAUUCUGUGGGUAUAAAAUAUUUUAAAUGUAAUAAUUGGCUAUUGGAAUAGCCAAUUCCAAAUGUUGGAAUACUUAAACAUUUGCUAGGAGGAAAGUAUUAUGUGUUUACUUUAAAAACAUAAUGUAAACAACUGAAAUAUCAACCAGUGAAAGAAAGAUUGUAUUUAUUAUAGCUUACUCAACAUCAAUGUAACUUUUGCACAGAAAUAUUUCAAUAUUGAUGUAGGUUUUGAAGUAUUUUGAGUUGAACAGAUAUUGAAUAAUUGUUUGUUAUAGAUUUGAAUGCUUAUGCCUCUUUGUCCUAGCUGAAGUAUUAAUGGUUAACUAUAAAAUAUUUAUAACAUUUUGGAAAUGAGAUUUUUAUAGUGAGGUAAUAUUUCCUAUUGUUAAAAUGUUAUUUUAUAAUUCUGUUGGCAUUUUUAUAUAUGAGUUAAAAUUCAAAAGAUGCAUCCACAGUUGUAAAUUGCUACGUGAAAAAAAUCUAAAAUGAAUAUGUCUAAUGGAAAUAGAAAAAUUGUCUGGAAGAAUAAGGUAAAAACUUACCAGUCCUCUGUAGAGAGAUGAGAAUAGAAGGAGUGUUUCUUUUACCUUCUUUUGGUUUUUAUAAAGGUAUUAAAAUAUGAACAACUAAACAAGAAAGAAGUGUUAAGGAGACAGUUUGUACGUAUUUUCAUUCUUGCAACUCACCAUCGUUGGAGCAUUUGGUUGUCAUAUCCAGCUUUGUCUUCCCAGAGGCCUUUGUGAAUGAUUUUUUUCAAUGAUUUUAUGAAGAGUAUGCAAUUUAAGAGAAUAAAUAGUAUUGGAUUAUCCAAGAAAAGAAGGAAGAAGAUGGAAUUAUAGGUAGGUGCCAAGCAGUUGUAUUUUGAUAAACAAAUGAGUAAAAAAUAGAACUAAAAAUUCUGUAAAGUGAGUGAAUUUUAAUAACAAGAUCAUAUUUACAGGGACUAAUUAGAGAUAUUGUAGAGAUGUUGCAUUUGAUGUAAAAGCAUGUAACCACAUGCUUUACCACUGAACCUUGUUUCUAGGCUUCUUAUUUAAUUUUGAUUUGAAUGAAGAAUGGAUUGUUUGUUUGCUUGUUUUUUCCUUUGGUUCAUUGUGCUGAAAGAUUUCAAAUAAGAUUUUAGUAUUUUAUAGAUCACACAAAAUUAGCAGGGGAAAUAUUUGAAUAUUUUUGGCAUUUGUGCUAACCAUGUUGGCUAAAAUAGAAAGUGUUUUUUGCAAUUGUGUUUGCUGAUUGAAUAUGCCUGAUCAACAUGAUGUUAUCCUGAUUUAUAUGUUCUUAUGCUUGGUUCAUAUCUAUCCAUUGCUCAUUGAAUGUUUUAUUUUUCAGGUAUUCACAAUGAGAGAUAUAUUGAAGGUAACUUGAGUACAGCUGAUGAAAUCAUCAGGAAUAUCUUGCUUUGGAGUCCUUAAUUUUUACAUCUUAACUGCAAAGCAUAGGUAAGAAGAUUCUGGUGCCAUUUUCAGGUGAGACAUUAAAUAAGCUCAGGAAACUAGUUCUGAUAUACACACUUUCCUGUGGAAUUUUUUUUUAAUUCUGAUUUGUUACACAUGAUGGCAGAAUGCAAUUCAUUUCAUAUUAUAAAUAUAGAGCACAAUUUUUCAAGAAACUGGGUGUACACAAAGUAUUUUCACACCAUUCAUGUCUUAUACAAGUACUUAGGGUAAUGAUGUCCAUCUCAUUCCCCCAUCUUUCCUACCCCUUUGCCCCUCCUUUCCCCUCCUUCCCCAUUGCCCUAUCCCUCCAUUCCUCCCAUGCUCCCCACUCCCCCCAGUUGCUAUUAUGCAUCUGCAUCUUCAUAUCAAAGAAAAUAUUCAGCCUUUGUUUUGGGGGGAUUGGCUUGCUUCACUUAGCAUUAUAUUCUCCAACUUCAUCAAUUUACCUGCAAAUGCUGUGAUUUUAUUCUCUUUAAAUGCUGAGUAAUGUUCCAUUGUGUAUAUAUGCCAAAGUUUCCCUAUCUAUUUAUCUAGUGAAGGGCAUCUAGGUUGGAUCCCUAAUUUAGCUAUUGUGAAUUGUGCAGCUAUAAACAUUGAUAUGGCUGAGUCCUUUGGGUAUAAACCGAGAGAAGUGGGAUAGCUGGGUCAAAUGGUGGUUCCAUUCCCUGUUUUCCAAGGAAUAUUCAUACUGCUUUCCGGAUUGGCUGCACCAAUUUGCAGUCCCACCAGCAAUGUAUGAGUGCACCUUUCUCCCCACAUCCUCACCAACACUUAUUGUUGUUUGCAUUCUUAAUAGCUACCAUUCUCACUGGAGUGAGAUGAAAUUUCAGAGUAGUUUUGAUUUGCAUUUCUCUAAUUGCUAGAGAUGUUGAACAUUUUUCAUAUAUUUGUUGAUUAAUUGUAUAUCUUCUUCUAAGAAAUGUCUGUUCAUUUCCUUGGCCCAUUUAUUGAUUGGGUUAUUUGUGUUUUUGGUGUUAAGGCUUUUGAUUUCUUUAUAUAUCCUGGAGAUUAGUAAUCUGUCUUAUGUGCAAGUGGUAAAGAUUUGCUCCCAUUCUGUAGGCUCUCUAUUCACCCCACUGAUUGUUCCUUUUGCUGAGAAGAAGUUUUUUAGUUUGAAUCCAUUCCAUUUGUUAAUUCUUGGGUUUAAUUUUUGCACUACAGGAAUUUUACUAAGAAAGUAGGGCCUAAUCCGACAUGAUGAUGAGUUUUGGGCCUACUUUUUCUUCCAUUAGGUUCAAGGUCUCUGGUUUAAUUCCUGUGUCCUUGAUCCACUUUGAGUUGAGUUUGUGCAUGGUGAGAAAUAGAGGUUUAAUUUCAUUUUGUUAAAUGUGGACUUCAGUUUUCUCAGCAAGAUUUGUUGAAGAGACUAUCUUUUCUCCAGUGUACAUUUUUGGCACCUUUGUCUAAUGUAAGAUAAUUGUAAUUAUAUAGGUUAGUCUCUGUGUCCUCUGUUCUGUACCAUUUGUCUACAAGUCUAUUUUGGUGCCAAUAGUAUGCUAUUUUAGUUACUAUUGCUCUGUAGUAUAGUUUUAGGUCUGGAAUAGUAAUGCCACCUGCUUCAUUCUUUUUGCUAAGGAUUGCUUUGCCUACUCUGGGUCUCUUAUUUUUCCAGAUGAAUUUCAUGAUUGCUUUUUCUAUUUCUAUAAGGAAUGCCAUUGGGAUUUUGAUUGGUAAAUAGAUUUGUCUUUUUUAUUUUUUGCAGUUUGGGGGGAUAGAACUCAGGGCUUUAUGUAUUUUAGGAAAAACAAUCUGCCACUGAUUACUUCACCAGCCCCUGAAUUAGUUGAUCAAAAGGUAGUAAAGGUGUUAUGUGUGUGCACACAGUGUGCCAUUUGUUUAUUUUACUUAUUAGCAACCAUGACAACAUAACUAAUUCCAUAAAGUAAGUGACCAAAUGUUUAAUUAAGAAAUUGAGCUGGGCGUGGUAGCUCAUGCCUAUAAUCCCAGUGGCUUGGGAGAUGGAGGCAGGAGGAUCCUGAGUUCAAAGCCAUCCUCAGCAAUUCAGUGAGGCACUAAGCAACUCAGUGAGACCCUGUCUCCAUAAAAUACAAAAUAGGGCUAGAGAUGUGGCUCAGUGGUUGAGUGCUCCGGAGUUCAAUCCCUGCUACCCCAAAACAAAAAUUAAAACAAAACAAAAACAACAUAACAAAAAUUAAAACAAAACAAAAACAACAUAACUAAUUCCAUAAAGUAACAACAACAAAAAGAAAUUGAUAAUAUAUUUGCUUUUGCAAAUAACAGUACUAUGACAAAAAGAUAAUUUUAUGGAAACCAGCAUAAUUGCUAACUGAAGUAGUGAAUCAUGACUUAUGUUAAAGUUAACUCAGCUGUAGGGUUGAUUAACAAGACAGUACUUGUAACUGUUAAUUGACAUUUCUAAAAAUAUUAAACAUGAAUAUUCACUUACCCUACUACCUUAGCAGUUCUUCAGAGUGAUAUGCUUAAAUUGUUUUGUUUUUCUUGUUAACAGAUGAUAGUUUCAAGAAAGAAUACUUCUAUCAUCCUUGGUUUUAAUCCUGUGAAUGAUAUGUACUAGCAAUGAAAGAUCUGUUGGAGUAAUUUAAUUCAUGUGUUCUUCACUCCUAUCUCUCACUUGGCGGUAUGACUAUAAGGGCCACUGACUGCCCAUUUGGUGGGGAAUGGGGUGCUUUAGUGAUAUACGUUUAUUUAUAUAGCCUGUUUUUCCUAAGUUUAAUGGCUCUUUGAUGUUACUAGUUUGCAGUAGCAUGUGUUGAGGUUGAAUAUCCUGAAACAGUUUUAUAUGGUGUCAACUAUUGUGUUGUGGGUCAACCCUUUUUUAACAACGUCCACAUGAUUUUUAUGUUAUGUUCUCUUUAUAGCUCCAUCAAAGCCUCUCUCUCAUUUUUUUAACAGAAAUAUUUUUUUGGGGGGUGGGAAUCAGGGAUUGAAUUCAGAGGCACUCAACCACUGAGCCACAUCAUCAGCCCUAUUUUGUAUUUUAUUUAGGACAAGGUC